UUUAGGACGAUGAUGAGAAAGAGUACAAAGAGGAAUUGCGACUAGCGAGAAUGGGAUAGUGGAAGCCAUUUGCAAGGAGUAUUUGGAAGUGCGUCUCGGAGUUGAUUGGAAGAAAUUUGAAGUAUUUCAAUCCGUAUUGGCUGCGUUAAAGCUUUGAGCUGGAACGACAUGUCGUUCAAACAGAGUGGGACCGCGGAACCUUUCGUCUCUGGA
This 213-nucleotide non-coding RNA is filed under the name Desulfosporosinus lacus. Its description in RNAcentral is "T-box sequence". It matches the Rfam family "T-box leader". Rfam says of the family: Uncharged tRNA acts as the effector for transcription antitermination of genes in the T-box leader family. T-boxes are found upstream of many aminoacyl-tRNA synthetase genes and some amino acid biosynthetic genes usually in Gram-positive bacteria. The record is from RNAcentral. Lineage: Bacteria; Bacillati; Bacillota; Clostridia; Eubacteriales; Desulfitobacteriaceae.